AAAUUAGAGCUUUGGAUAAAGUAUUUUAUUUACAUUAAAAGGUUAAUUGUGAAACUCAAUUUAAUUUGAG
RNAcentral lists this transfer RNA (70 nucleotides) under Diamesus osculans. RNAcentral describes it as "tRNA-Val". The record is from RNAcentral. Lineage: Eukaryota; Metazoa; Arthropoda; Insecta; Coleoptera; Silphidae.